AUCUGCUAUAAAUGUGAACAGCCAGGACAUGGUGUUAAGGACUGUAAGACUUCAUUGUUUUGUGUUAAUUGCACUAAACGAGAUGCUCAUAUAUCCCGCAAAUGCAAUCUGCUAACGCAACCUAAAGGAGUGGCUGGUCUGAUCGGGAUAGGGGCAGAUGGACUUCAGAUGUUUACUGCACGAUCUGGGAGGUAGCCAGAGGCAGAUAAGGCCAAGCAGGCGAUUGCUGUUAUUACUGUGAAAGAUGACGUGCUCACUGCACAACAAUUGGUGAACUCAUUUAGCAUGAUGUUUCAGUGGGGAUGGCAGUGGCAGGCAAAGCCAUACCUCAAAGAUAGUUUCCUGAUGAAGUUCCCUUCUGUCCAAAAGAUUGAUGAAAUGAAAGCAUAUAAAUUUUUUGGUCUGAUUGGCAGCAAAGCUAACGUGAAUGUGAACAGAUGGAUGAACUCCUCUAUGGCCUCUUACAAGCUGUAUGUAUGCUGGGUCACAAUAUCAGGGGUGCCGGAAACAUUGCAUCAUUACCAGGGCUUUUGUGAAGCUGGGUCGCUAAUCGGGCAUGUGUUUGAAUUGGAUAUGGAGUUGUACAGACAAUGUGAGAUACUCAGAGCAAAGGUGGGUGUCAUGGACCCGAGAAAAAUUCCACCCAGUGCGCCUCUCCAUGAGGAUGGGUACAUAUACAACAUUUUCUUUGACCUAGAAGACAUUGUGGAAGAAGGAGGUCCAAUGGAGGAUGGUAUCUUA
Molecule: ribosomal RNA, 741 nt
Filed under: Triticum aestivum (bread wheat)
Lineage: Eukaryota; Viridiplantae; Streptophyta; Magnoliopsida; Poales; Poaceae
Description: partial small subunit ribosomal RNA
Source: RNAcentral